AUAUCUCUCUGUACGGGAAAGAUGAGAAGCUUCGACUAAGGUUCGAUUCGAGCGAAAGCGAGAAAGCGUUGCCGCAGGCAACGACCCGAAGGGCGAAGCGCGCAGCGCUGAGUCAUCCUUCCCCCACCACCA
RNAcentral lists this small RNA (132 nucleotides) under Salmonella enterica subsp. enterica serovar Enteritidis. RNAcentral describes it as "RtT sRNA". It matches the Rfam family "RtT RNA". From Rfam's summary of the family: This family represents a bacterial cis-regulatory element known as RtT RNA. The exact function of RtT is unknown although it is thought that it may be involved in changing the cellular response in relation to amino acid starvation. Lineage: Bacteria; Pseudomonadati; Pseudomonadota; Gammaproteobacteria; Enterobacterales; Enterobacteriaceae. The record is from RNAcentral.